This 714-nucleotide ribosomal RNA is filed under the name bacterium 61-L049658-122-015-E08. Its description in RNAcentral is "bacterial SSU rRNA". It matches the Rfam family "Bacterial small subunit ribosomal RNA", at positions 57 to 767 of the family's 1533-position model. The record is from RNAcentral.
GCAGUCGAGCGGAUGAAGAGAGCUUGCUCUCUGAUUCAGCGGCGGACGGGUGAGUAAUGCCUAGGAAUCUGCCUGGUAGUGGGGGACAACGUCUCGAAAGGGACGCUAAUACCGCAUACGUCCUACGGGAGAAAGCAGGGGACCUUCGGGCCUUGCGCUAUCAGAUGAGCCUAGGUCGGAUUAGCUAGUUGGUGAGGUAAUGGCUCACCAAGGCGACGAUCCGUAACUGGUCUGAGAGGAUGAUCAGUCACACUGGAACUGAGACACGGUCCAGACUCCUACGGGAGGCAGCAGUGGGGAAUAUUGGACAAUGGGCGAAAGCCUGAUCCAGCCAUGCCGCGUGUGUGAAGAAGGUCUUCGGAUUGUAAAGCACUUUAAGUUGGGAGGAAGGGCAGUAAGCGAAUACCUUGCUGUUUUGACGUUACCGACAGAAUAAGCACCGGCUAACUCUGUGCCAGCAGCCGCGGUAAUACAGAGGGUGCAAGCGUUAAUCGGAAUUACUGGGCGUAAAGCGCGCGUAGGUGGUUUGUUAAGUUGAAUGUGAAAUCCCCGGGCUCAACCUGGGAACUGCAUCCAAAACUGGCAAGCUAGAGUAGGGCAGAGGGUGGUGGAAUUUCCUGUGUAGCGGUGAAAUGCGUAGAUAUAGGAAGGAACACCAGUGGCGAAGGCGACCACCUGGGCUCAUACUGACACUGAGGUGCGAAAGCGUGGGGG